Molecule: transfer RNA, 71 nt
Filed under: Loxodonta africana (African savanna elephant)
Lineage: Eukaryota; Metazoa; Chordata; Mammalia; Proboscidea; Elephantidae
Rfam family: tRNA
About the family: Transfer RNA (tRNA) molecules are approximately 80 nucleotides in length. Their secondary structure includes four short double-helical elements and three loops (D, anti-codon, and T loops).
Source: Rfam by way of RNAcentral
GCGGUGGUGACUCAGUGGUAGAAUUCCCAUCUUCCAAGUGGGAGGUCUGGGUUCAAUUCCCAACUGACACA